GUCUUGUAAUUGGAAUGAUGGUGACCUAAACCCUCACCAGAGUAACAAUUGGAGGGCAAGUCUGGUGCCAGCAGCCGCGGUAAUUCCAGCUCCAAUAGCGUAUAUUAAACUUGUUGCAGUUAAAAAGCUCGUAGUUGAAUUUCUGCGUUAUCGAGUUAUUGACUCUUGUCUUUAAUCGAUUUCGCUUUUGGGAUUUAUCCCUUUUUACUUUGAGAAAAUUAGAGUGUUUCAAGCAGACUUUUGUCUUGAAUACUUCAGCAUGGAAUAAUAGAGUAGGACUUUGGUUCUAUUUUGUUGGUUUUUGAACCUUAGUAAUGGUUAAUAGGAACGGUUGGGGGCAUUCGUAUUUAACUGUCAGAGGUGAAAUUCUUAGAUUUGUUAAAGACGAACUACUGCGAAAGCAUUUGCCAAGGACGUUUCCAUUAAUCAAGAACGAAAGUUAGGGGAUCGAAGACGAUCAGAUACCGUCGUAGUC
Molecule: ribosomal RNA, 475 nt
Filed under: Babesia venatorum (nom. ined.)
Lineage: Eukaryota; Apicomplexa; Aconoidasida; Piroplasmida; Babesiidae
Description: SSU rRNA
Rfam family: Eukaryotic small subunit ribosomal RNA
Source: RNAcentral